AGCACAGUAGCUCAGUGGUUAGAGCACUACGGGCGCAUACGAAUAGAAUCGCCGGUUUGAUUCCGGCCUAUGCCG
RNAcentral lists this transfer RNA (75 nucleotides) under Auriscalpium vulgare. Its description in RNAcentral is "tRNA-OTHER". It matches the Rfam family "tRNA". From Rfam's summary of the family: Transfer RNA (tRNA) molecules are approximately 80 nucleotides in length. Their secondary structure includes four short double-helical elements and three loops (D, anti-codon, and T loops). Further hydrogen bonds mediate the characteristic L-shaped molecular structure. tRNAs have two regions of fundamental functional importance: the anti-codon, which is responsible for specific mRNA codon recognition, and the 3' end, to which the tRNAs corresponding amino acid is attached (by aminoacyl-tRNA synthetases). tRNAs cope with the degeneracy of the genetic code in two manners: having more than one tRNA (with a specific anti-codon) for a particular amino acid; and 'wobble' base-pairing, i.e. permitting non-standard base-pairing at the 3rd anti-codon position. Lineage: Eukaryota; Fungi; Basidiomycota; Agaricomycetes; Russulales; Auriscalpiaceae. The record is from RNAcentral.